Molecule: long non-coding RNA, 729 nt
Organism: Oreochromis niloticus (Nile tilapia)
Lineage: Eukaryota; Metazoa; Chordata; Actinopteri; Cichliformes; Cichlidae
Exons: 2
Source: RefSeq, a predicted model, not a curated record
GCCAAACUGACUUAAGGGAGAUAGUGAGCGCAAAGACAGGAGAAGAGACACACGGAAAGCGAAGAGCAGGAAACCGAACGUGUGCAGACGAGCGCAUGUAUAGAAGGACCGGCCUGCCUGUGCAGCGUCACGAGACUUCCGGCGAUUCAGUUCUGACGGACAGAAUAGCAACAGUGGGAGGCGACGCGUGAAAUCCACAGUAGGGCAGAGGGGACGCCUCUGCCUGCAUCCGGCCGGGCUACGAGGGAAGCCGUGUGCGGGUGCGGAGAGUGGCUGGACUGCACGGUCACGCGCCGCCAGGUGGGGAUAGGAGCCUCCUCCCUGGCCUUCUGCUGGCGAGAUUUUCCCAUCCCGGAAGAGGAGCUCCCCUUCUGUCUCUUUCAGCUAAGGAACAUUUGCCCGAGUGUGUGUGGUUGGACACUGGGAAUAGAGGACUCUGGGGGGGACGUUUUAUCGUAUAAAAAGGACAUUUAUUUAGUUUUGAUUUUUUUAAUUGUAUUUUAAUCUCUGCCGGCAGGGCUUUUAAGCGGGUUGGGAACAUUUAUUUUUUAUUGUAUAGUGGGGAUUUUAACUUCUACUUGUGAUUCUGGCUGUUUUUCUAAAAAAUAAAUGGUGUGUUUAAAGCCGGCCCAGUGUCCGUACUCCGAGCGCUGAUUCACUCUCUCCCCUUAUGCUUGUAUGUAUAUAGACGUGGUGGCGAAGAUUUAGGUCACCAGUUUAGCGGCUACA